CUCUCUGGAGACACCCGGAUCAGAUCGGGGGCCGAAGGUGCAACAUAUAUCAUAUCUUAUUGAUAUAUGAAUCUCUCAGGUAAAAGGACAGAGAAG
This 96-nucleotide non-coding RNA is filed under the name uncultured Marvinbryantia sp. Its description in RNAcentral is "Glycine riboswitch". It matches the Rfam family "Glycine riboswitch aptamer", at positions 8 to 87 of the family's 94-position model. From Rfam's summary of the family: This family represents the bacterial glycine riboswitch. Glycine riboswitches usually consist of two metabolite-binding aptamers domains with similar structures in tandem. The aptamers cooperatively bind glycine to regulate the expression of downstream genes. Lineage: Bacteria; Bacillati; Bacillota; Clostridia; Lachnospirales; Lachnospiraceae. The record is from RNAcentral.